GCCAGGUGUGGUGGCUUAUGCCUGUAAUCCCAGCAGCUCAGGAGGCUGAGACAGGAGGAUCAGGGGGUCAAAGCCAGAUUCGGGAAUGGUGAGGGUGCUAAGCAACUCACUGAGACCCUGUCUGUA
Molecule: small RNA, 126 nt
Filed under: Marmota monax (woodchuck)
Lineage: Eukaryota; Metazoa; Chordata; Mammalia; Rodentia; Sciuridae
Source: RNAcentral